This 72-nucleotide transfer RNA is filed under the name Camelus bactrianus (Bactrian camel). It matches the Rfam family "tRNA". From Rfam's summary of the family: Transfer RNA (tRNA) molecules are approximately 80 nucleotides in length. Their secondary structure includes four short double-helical elements and three loops (D, anti-codon, and T loops). The record is from Rfam by way of RNAcentral. RNAcentral also lists the same sequence under 2 other names. Lineage: Eukaryota; Metazoa; Chordata; Mammalia; Artiodactyla; Camelidae.
GAGGGUAUAGCUCAGUGGUAGAGUGUGUGCUUAGAAUGCACAAGGUCCUAGGUUCAAUCCCCAGUACCUCCA